Molecule: ribosomal RNA, 371 nt
Filed under: uncultured bacterium
Lineage: Bacteria
Description: bacterial SSU rRNA
Rfam family: Bacterial small subunit ribosomal RNA
Source: RNAcentral
GUAGGGGGCAAGCGUUGUCCGGAUUUAUUGGGCGUAAAGAGCGUGUAGGCGGCCAGGUAGGUCGGUUGUGAAAACUGGAGGCUUAACCUUCAGACGUCGACCGAAACCAUCUGGCUAGAGUCCGGAAGAGGAGAAUGGAAUUCCUGGUGUAGCGGUGAAAUGCGCAGAUAUCAGGAAGAACACCCGUGGCUAAGGCGGUUCUCUAGUACGGUACUGACGCUGAGACGCGAAAGCGUGGGGAGCGAACAGGAUUAGAUACCCUGGUAGUCCACGCCGUAAACGAUGGGUGCUAGGUGUGGGGGGUGUCGACUCCCCCCGUGCCGAAGCUAACGCAUUAAGCACCCCGCCUGGGGAGUACGGCCGCAAGGCUA